ACACGCAUGACACACUGCAUAUCAAUAAGCGGAGGAAAAGAAACUAACUAGGAUUCCCCUAGUAACGGCGAGUGAAGCGGGAAGAGCUCAAAUUUGAAAUCUUAAAGGGUUUCCCUUUACGAAUUGUAGUUUAAAGAAGUGUUUUCUGUUGGAGUUUCGGUAAAAGUUCUUUGGAAUAGGACAUCAUAGAGGGUGAGAAUCCCGUAUUUGACCGUUACUUUCCAGCUGUGUGAUACACUUUCAAAGAGUCGGAUUGUUUGGGAAUGCAGUCCAAAAUGGGUGGUAAAUUUCAUCUAAAGCUAAAUAUUGGCGAGAGACCGAUAGCGAACAAGUACCGUGAGGGAAAGAUGAAAAGAACUUUGAAAAGAGAGUUAAACAGUACGUGAAAUUGUCAAAAGGGAAGCGUUUGACACCAGUGUUGUUUAGUUGAAAAUCAAUUCAAUAAUUUUUGAUUUUGAGUAGUAUUGACUUCAUCAGCUUGCUGCUUUCUUUUCUGAAAUUAUUGAAUGCACUUUUCAGUUAACAAGUCAACAUCAAUUUCUUUUGUUGUAAAAGGGUAAGAGGAAGGUGGCUUACGCUUCGGCGUAAGUGUUUAUAGCCUUUUACCUCUGCAAUCGGAGAGAUUGAGGACAGCAGCGUAGACUCUUCGGGGUUAGAUACACUUGUGCUAAGCUAUAGCCUUGUAUGGACAACUUGUUGACUAUGCUCAGUCAUGUAGCUUACUCGCUUGUGCUAUUUUACCUACGCUUAGGAUGUUGACUGAUAUGUAGUCGUA
Molecule: ribosomal RNA, 775 nt
Filed under: uncultured Neocallimastigales
Lineage: Eukaryota; Fungi; Neocallimastigomycota; Neocallimastigomycetes; Neocallimastigales
Description: partial large subunit ribosomal RNA
Rfam family: Eukaryotic large subunit ribosomal RNA
Source: RNAcentral